This 41-nucleotide transfer RNA is filed under the name Radula myriopoda. Its description in RNAcentral is "partial tRNA-Phe". It matches the Rfam family "tRNA", at positions 1 to 40 of the family's 71-position model. Rfam says of the family: Transfer RNA (tRNA) molecules are approximately 80 nucleotides in length. Their secondary structure includes four short double-helical elements and three loops (D, anti-codon, and T loops). Lineage: Eukaryota; Viridiplantae; Streptophyta; Jungermanniopsida; Radulales; Radulaceae. The record is from RNAcentral.
GCCGGAAUAGCUCAGUUGGUAGAGCAGGGGACUGAAAAUCC